Candoia aspera is the source of this 1329-nucleotide long non-coding RNA. RefSeq lists it as uncharacterized. The record is from RefSeq and is a predicted model, not a curated record. The transcript is spliced from 3 exons. Lineage: Eukaryota; Metazoa; Chordata; Lepidosauria; Squamata; Candoiidae.
CCCGUUUCUGCAGCUGAGUCGGAAACAAGAUAAGGGUCAGAGUCCGAUGUGUGCACAUGGGUCAGCAUCAUUGCCGUGCAGAAGGAAUCGCUUACGGAAGUAGUGCUGCUACCCCAAACGCUCUGAUUAGGGGUGAAGCCUCAGCGGAACCAGUGGGAGUUACUUCCGUGUAGACGGGCAGGAAAAGCAGUGAGGCACCAAGGACCCUUUGCCGUCUCGGUGGGAAACGUCGCUGGAAUGCCCACCCAUCUUCUGUUCCCGGCGCGCUUGCCAGAAAGUAGCGUGGACGUUGCAAUCCACGCAGCGACUGAACUUGCCUGGGGCGCCGAAUUGAGACCUUGCAGGUGAAGGGACAAAAGGACUAGCUGAGGACGUGGAGGGGUAACCUAAGAAGCAGCCCCCACACGACAACCCAAGAACAGGGCUACACAAGGGAAGCAGGUGACGAGAAAGAGGCGGACUCUGCUACUACCUCCACCCACUCAGUUCCCGCAUCAGCUGGCAGGGCAGCCCCGCGAGCCUCCCGCGGUUUCCCCCGCCAUUGCUGCUGGCUGGCCACUCUCCUUCGCCGACCGAAUAGGGGCUGCCAACACAGUAUUGGGACGAUCACUAGGCGGCAGCAAAUAGAUUUUCAGUAUUUCUUUGAUGCCAUCUUGUGGUCAUCCGGUUUUCUGUUGCCCAGGUGAGAGGUUUGCCUUGGGGCCCAAAUAACUUCCAGAUGUCCAUCAAGGCCAUUCCUUAAUGCAUCUCCUGUUCUGAUGUUGUCCCAAAUAAUGGAAUGUGUUUUCUUUUUCUUACUGGGAGUAUUGAUGUUUUGCUCCAAAACUGUAGUAUUAAUUUGGAUAGCGUGGAAUAUGAAAGAAUGGAAAUUAAACACCCCAACCCUUUUCCUUUAGUCUAAAGCUCUUCUCAAGUUGCCCAAUUAGAACCAUUUAGUACUGCAUUUCUCCUAUCCUGUCAGUAGGGGGCUGGACUUUGCAGUCAAUACAAGCAAGUGCAUUUGAAAUGGCCUAAUCAAGCCAGUGAUGUUUCUGACAUUGGUAAAACCUGGAUGUAUUUUCUAAGAUAAAUUCUAAGACAAAUUAUUUCCAAUAAUUUGGUGAAUGCAGCUGAGAUAUGUAAUAUCCCAUAUCUUCAGUAUUCAAGGUUGAUCUCUUGAGUCAGUAGAUAGCAUUUCCUUUGCCAUUACUUCUAUUUUGCACAUUCAUUUGAACGUGCAAAAUAGAAGUACUGUAUUGUAUAACUUGCCCAAAAAGAGUUGUAUUCUUUAAGAGGGCCAGCUGUUUCUGUUUCAAAGAAGUGGCAUCCUAUUAAAAAUCUUUUCUACAC